RNAcentral lists this ribosomal RNA (3184 nucleotides) under Triticum aestivum (bread wheat). RNAcentral describes it as "partial small subunit ribosomal RNA". Lineage: Eukaryota; Viridiplantae; Streptophyta; Magnoliopsida; Poales; Poaceae. The record is from RNAcentral.
UAUCCCCUUGUUCACCUUCGGCCCGCCGCCAGUCCGCUACACUGCCCCUCCUGAAUUCCUCCUCCGCCCGCCGGAGCCUGCUGCGACGAGCUUCCACCCCCCCUUGCGUCAGCUAGCCUUCUCCUCCGCUUCCCACAAAGAGCAAUUCGCCUCUCUUGCGCACCAUCAGUUGCCCUUGAGCAAUCGCCCCGCCGGCCGCCGGUCCUUGUGCGCCCACCAGAUGCUCGUGAUAUUUCCGUAAUGGCCUUCGCAAUGCGCCUAGCGUCCUGCCCCGGCGCGUCGCUGCAGGCGGCGACGGCCUGGCCGUCCAGCCUCGGCUCCGCGGCGCCACGGCCGCGGCCUCGCCGGCGGUGGCCACGCAUCAGGUCGUCCGCGGCCGCCUCCGACCAGCAGGCGCUUCUGGCCGCCCUGCGCGAGCAGGCGGACCCCGAGGCGGCGCUCCGGAUGCUCAACUCGGCGCUCGCGCGGGACGACUUCGCCCCCGGCCGCGACGUCUACGAGGAGAUCAUCCGGAAGCUCGGGACCGCCGGCGCCUUCGACCUGAUGAAGGUGCUCGUCAGGGAGAUGCGCCAGGAAGGGCACCAGGUUGGACCGGGCGUGGUGCAGUCGUUCAUAGAGGGCUACGCGCGGCUGCACAUGUUCGAUGAUGCCUUCGACUUGGUUCUCAACCAGCUUGACAUGUUCGGCAUUCAGGGAGACGCAGUGGUGGUGGCGUACAAUCACCUUCUCCGUGUUCUCAUGGAGGGGAGUAAGAUCAAGCUCCUUGAAUCCGUCUACACGGAGAUGGGCAAUAGGGGCAUCAAACCUGACCUUGUCACUUACAACACAGUGAUCAAUGCGUUGUGUGGAGUUCAUCAGGUUAGGACUGCAGUUCUGAUGCUGGAGGACAUGUCUAGCGAUGGUGUGGCGCCUAACGAGGUGACAUUCACUACGUUGAUGCAAGGUUUUGUUGAGGAGGGGAGCAUCGAGGCAGCACUGAGGAUGAAGGCACGGAUGUCAGAAAUGGGAUGUUCGCCAACGAGUGUAACAGUCAAUGUUUUGAUUAACGGGUACUGCAAGCUUGGAAGAGUCGAGGAUGCUCUCAGUUAUGUACAGCAAGAGAUCGCAGAUGGUUUUGAACCUGACCAGGUCACAUUCACUACAUUUGUUAAUGGUCUGUGCCAAAACGGGCAUGUUGAUCAUGCCCUCAAAGUCAUGGAUUUGAUGCUCCAGCAGGGUAGUGAUCCAGAUGUUUUCACCUACACUACUGUUGUAAACUGCUUGUGUCAAAUUGGAGAACUUGAUGAGGCUGUGGCAAUCAUAAAUCAGAUGGUGGAUAGCGGUUGUUUGCCUGACAUUACCACCUUCAAUACUCUCAUUGUUGCCUUAUGCACAGAGAAUCAUCUUGAGGAAGCCUUGAACCUUGCACGUGAUCUGACGGUGAAGGGACUCUCUCCAAAUGUUUAUACUUUCAACAUUUUGAUAGAUGCCCUUUGCAAGGUUGGAGAUCCUCAUCUUGCUGUUCGAUUGUUUGAAGAGAUGAAAAGCAGUGGAUGCACCCCUGAUGAACUUACAUACAAUAUAUUGAUUGAUAACCUGUGCUCAUCGGGGAAGCUUGCCAAAGCUUUGGAUUUGUUGAAGGAGAUGGAAGUUAGUGGUUGUCCUCUGAGCACAGUGACAUAUAACACUAUAAUUGAUGGGUUAUGCAAGAAACUGAGAAUAGAAGAAGCAGAGGAGGUUUUUGAUCAAAUGGAUGUAACAGGUAUUGAAAGGAAUGCGAUCACAUUCAAUACACUUGUUGAUGGAUUGUGCAUGGCCGAAAGGAUUGACGAUGCAGCAGAACUUAUUGAACAAAUGAUAAGUGAAGGGUUGCAACCUAAUAAUAUCACUUACAAUUCUAUUCUAACUCAUUACUGCAAGCAAGGAAACAUAGGUAAAGCUGCUGAUGUUUUACAAACUAUGACCGCAAAUGGAUUUGAAGUUGAUGUUGUUACAUAUGCAACACUCAUUAAUGGCCUGUGCAAGGCUCGUCGGACUCAGGCUGCUUUGAAGCUUCUUAGAGGUAUGCGGAUGAAAGGGAUGAGGCCAACUCCAAAAGCCUUCAACCCUGUGAUUCAGUCUCUAUUUAGAGGGAAUAACGGCAGGGAUGCUCUGAAUCUGUAUAGGGAGAUGACAGAAGUUGGCGAGCCUCCUGAUGCUUUGACAUAUAAAAUUGUUUUCCGUGGUCUCUGUCGUGGUGGUGGCCCUAUUAAAGAAGCUUUUGAUUUCUUGGUAGAGAUGGCAGAUAAGGGUUUCAUACCAGAGUUUUCAUCAUUCCGCAUGCUAGCUGAUGGUCUACUGAACCUGGGUAUGGAUGAUUACCUCAUAAGUGCUAUUGAACUAAUUGCAGAGAAGGCCAACUUCAGAGAAUCCGAUGUUUCUGCAAUAAGGGGUUAUCUCAGGAUCCGUAAAUUUUAUGAUGCAUUAGCAACUUUUGGCCGUCUCCUGGAUAUCAACAACCCUCGAUGGACUUAUCGAUGAAACAUGAGAAAGUAGUAUCUGGGAAAGUACUGAGUACGUGAAAAUUUUGCUGGUUAGUUCAUCAGGAUAGAUCUUGUUUAAUUACGAAUAGAUGACUAUGCUUGUUACUUGGUGGGGAUGAACUUUGCAUGUAGAAGAUGCUUAUCUUGGUAUUGAAACUCGCGGGAAUUGUUUAUCACCAUUUCCACUGUGAACCCUGUUUUUUGAGUUUUAUAUUUUAAGGGUACUAAUGUCAGAUUAUUUUGCCGCUUUUUCAACUAAGUGUUCGUUUAUCAUUCUAUUAUGUCUUCACGUAAUUAUGUUUUUCAUACUGGUUACAGCUAAAAAUGUCAGCAGCAACUUAUAUUCUAACUAAAGAAUUAUACAGUGCCGCAUCUCUUUCCAUGAACAGGCUGAGAACACAGGCGCAUAGGCGCUUCAGAUUUAGCUUGUGAAUGUACCAUUACCAAAGAUGAUUUUACGCGGCCAGAAAGAGGGGACCAAUUUAAGAUGCCAAGUUGAGCAAUGUUGUACACGUGUACAUAUCUAUUGGUAAGGUUCUGCACAUAGAUACCUGUAUAUUCGAUCAUUGCACAAAUUGUAGACUACCAUAUGAACUCUGGUAGCCAUCAGUUGUACAUGAAUAAUGUGGAUGCUUUAGAGCAAUCCUCAAGGAACAAGCGGCCAUGGAUUCCUAACAAACAGC